This 244-nucleotide long non-coding RNA is filed under the name Gossypium barbadense (sea-island cotton). RNAcentral describes it as "long non-coding RNA (GBAR_LNC004671)". Lineage: Eukaryota; Viridiplantae; Streptophyta; Magnoliopsida; Malvales; Malvaceae. The record is from RNAcentral.
UGGAAAGGGGCCACUACGUGUGCGUCGAACAACUUUUUGUACAGCUCCCUAUACGUCACUGGUAUAGAAGUGAACUGGAACCUCUCUGUGUUCUGCCUUGUGUUAGGCUCUCGCCUUGGUGUGGCCUGCUGGCUAGUGACUAUCGUUCCCGAUUGAUUAACAGUGACAGGUUUUGAAUAGCCUGAGUUCACGUUGCUUACCUCGUUUUCCUUUUUCUUCGGGGCUGACCUUCUCGUGCUUUCCC